This 303-nucleotide ribosomal RNA is filed under the name Triticum aestivum (bread wheat). RNAcentral's name for it is "partial small subunit ribosomal RNA". Lineage: Eukaryota; Viridiplantae; Streptophyta; Magnoliopsida; Poales; Poaceae. The record is from RNAcentral.
AUGCGGCAGCUUCGGCUCAUCACCAACAUGAGGGCUCAUAAUGACACGUGGUUUGCAAAUUACUUGCUAAGGGUCGGCAAUGGCACUGAGGAAGUCGACGAUCAAGGAAACAUACUACUCCCUGAAGACAUUUGUCUGCCGUCUACAGGCGAGGUUGACGACCUGGAGAAGCUUAUUCACCACGUGUUUCCGAGUCUAGAUGACAACAUGUCUGAUUCAAAUUACAUGACAUCUCGAGCAAUCCUUUCCACGACAAACGACAAUGUCGACGAGAUAAACAUCCGCAUGAUAGAGCGUUUUUAG